Molecule: long non-coding RNA, 43782 nt
Filed under: Hordeum vulgare
Lineage: Eukaryota; Viridiplantae; Streptophyta; Magnoliopsida; Poales; Poaceae
Description: long non-coding RNA (HVUL_LNC016407)
Source: RNAcentral
AUUACUGUCAAGCAAUUGAUAGAAAAGUGAAUAAUUAUGAAGAUAUCCAAGGCAAUGAUUGUGCAUAUAGGCAUCACGUCUGUGUCAAGUAGACCAAAACGAUUCUGCACCUACUACUAUUAGUCCACACAUCGACCUACUCCUGCCUACAACUAAAGUAUUAAGUUCAUGAAGAAUAGAGUAACGCAUUAGGUAAGAUGACAUGAUGUAGAGGGAUAAACUCAAGAAAUAUUAUUAAAACCCCAUCUUUUUAUCCUCGAUGGCAAUAACGCAAUAUGUGCCUCGCUACCCCUACUUUGUCACUAGGUGAGGACACCGCAAGAUUGAACCCAAAACUAAGCACUUCUCCCAUUGCAAGAAUUACCAAUCUAGUUGGCCAAACCAAACCAAUAACUCGAAGAGACUUGCUAAGAUAUGAAAUCAUGCAUAUAAGAAUUCAGAGAAGAUUCAAAUAAUAUUCAUAGAUAAUUAGAACAUAAACCCACAAUUCAUCGGAUCUCGACAAACACACCGCAAAAGAGUAUUACAUCGGAUAGAUCUCCAUGAAGAUCAUGAAGAACAUGGUAUUGAAGAACAAAGAGAGAGAUGAAGCCAUCUAGCUACUAGCUAUGGACCCGUAGGUCUGUGGUGAACUAUUCACACAUCAUCGAAGGGGCAAUGGAUUUGAUGUAGAUGCCCUCCGUGAUCAAUUCCCUCUCCGGCAGAUUACCGAAAAAGGCUCCCAGAUUGGAUCUCACGGGAAAACAGGCUCUUAGUGGUGGAAAAGUAUUUUUUUUGUCUCCUUUCGGCAAUGGGGGGAUAUUUGGGAAUUUACAGGACGAAGAUUAGGGCUAGGAAACCUGCAGGGGAGCCAUAAUCCAGGGGGCUCCCCCCUAGGGCGCACCCUGCGGGCUUGUCGUCUCUCGACAGGUGUCCUGCCCCCUUCUCCACGUUUGGCAGGUUUCUUCUGGUCCAAGAAAAAUCAUUCCAAAUAUUUUAUUCCGUUUGGACUCCGUUUAAUAUUCCUUAUCUGCAAUACUCAAAAACAUAGAAAAAACAGAAACUGACACUAGGCUCUAGAUUAAUAGGUUAGUCCCAAAAAUAAUAUAAAAUAGCAUAUUAAUGCAUAUAAAAUAUCCAAAACACAUAAUAUAAUCUCAUGGAACAUUAAAAAUUAUAUAUAUGUUGGAGACGUAUCAACUGCUAUUGUUCAUUCACUAGUUUUGCUUGUGUUUGGUGGUUUGAGCAUUGUAGAAUACAUCAUGCUAAUAUUCCAACUACUUGGGCUGCUUUGAAAACUGCUAUGUGUACUCGUUGGGUUCCACCAUAUUAUCAACGUGAAUUACUUAAAAAAUUGCAGCGUUUAAGACAAGGAAAAAAUCAUGUGGAAGAAUAUUAUUAGGAAUUAGAAACUGGCAUGAUUAGAUGUGGUAUUGUGAGGACACUGAUGCUAUGCUUGCACGUUUUAUGUGUGGAUUAAAUAGAGAUAUUCAGACUAUUUUAGAGUAUAGAGAGUAUAACACUAUCACUUGUUUAUUCCAUCUUGCUUGCAAAGCUGAACGUGAAGUGCAGGAUCAACAUGCAUUGGCCAGAACUAAUUUUUCUACAGGUCGCACUUUAUCAUGGACGCCACAAACCUCAUCUGCUUCCACACAUUCUACUAUGGCACCACCUAUUUGAGCCACAAACUCCAGCUGAGAUAGCAGGCAACACGCACCUGCCCCACCCUCCACCAAGAGAACACCUUCCGGGCCGGCAUAGAGCUCUUCUUCGUCCAUGGCAUCCACAGGGAAAACACAUGAGGUUAUGUGUUGUUGUUUCAAGGGUGGAAGUCAUUAUGUGAGAGAGUGCCCAUCCAAGCAUGUGAUGAUUGUUACUAAGGAUGGUGGAUAUGACUCCACUGCAAGGUUUGACACUAAUCCGAAUAACUCUAAGGAGUAAAGCGGAUUCGUAUAGUGGAGCAGUCAUUUGGAAUAGUUCCAAAUGGUGCGUGGUGGCAGCAUGUAUAGGAUGACAUAGAGAUUUGUAAAGCACACACGAAUCUGAAAGGUUCAGACCCAUUGACUAAAAACCUCUCUCGCAAGCAAGAUAUGAUCGAACACCAUAACUGUAUGGGUGUUAGGUUCAUUACAAUCACAUAGUGAUGUGAACUAGAUUAUUGACUCUAGUGCAAGUGGGAGACUAUUGGAAAUAUGCCCUAGAGGCAAUAAUAAAUUAGUUAUUAUUAUAUUUCUUUGUUCAUGAUAAUCGUUUAUUAUCCAUGCUAUAAUUGUAUUGAUUGGAAACACAAAUACAUGUGUGGAUACAUAGACAAAACACUGUCCCUAGUAAUCCUCUAGUUGACUAGCUCGUUGAUCAAAGAUGGUCAAGGUUUCCUGAACAUAGACAAGUGUUGUCACUUGAUAACGGGAUCACAUCAUUGGGAGAAUGAUGUGAUGGACACUACCCAAACUAUAAACAUAGUAUAUGAUCAUGUCAGUUUAUUGCUACUGUUUUCUGCAUGUCAAUGUAUCUGUUCCUAUGACCAUGAGAUCAUGCAACUCUCGGACACCGGAGGAAUACCUUGUGUGUAUAAACAUCGCAACGCAACUGGGUGACUGUAAAGGUGCUCUACAGGUAUCUCUAAAGGUGUCUGUUGGGUUGGCAUGGAUCAAGAAUGGGAUUUGUCACUCCGUGUGACGGAGAGGUAUCUCGGGGCCCACUCGGUAAUACAACAUCACAACAAGCCUUGCAAGCAAUGUGACUAAGGAGUUAGUUACGGGAUCUUGUAUUACAGAGCGAGUAAGUAGACUUGCCGGUAAUGAGAUUGAACUAGGUAUGGUGCUACCGACGAUCGAAUCUUGGACAAGUAACUUACUGAAGGACAAAGGGAAUAGUAUACGGGAUUAUAUGAAUCCUUGACAUAGAGUUUCAACCGAUAGAGAUCUUCAUAGAAUAUGUAGGAGCCAAUAUGGACAUCCAGGUCCCGUUGUUUGUUAUUGACCAGAGAGAGUCUCGGGUCAUGUCUGCAUAGUUCUCGAACACGCAGGGUCUGCACGCUUAAGGUUCGGUGACAUUUCGGUAUAGUUGAGUUAUAUGUGUUGCUGACCGAAGUUUUGUUCGGAGUCCCGGAUGAGAUCCCGGACAUCAUGAGGAGUUCUGCAAUGGUCCGGAAACAAAGAUUGAUAUAUAGGAAGUUGGUAUUUGGAUUCCGGAAGGUUUUCGGGCAUUCCGGUAGUGUACCGGGAGUGACGAAUGGGUUCCGGGGUCCCACUGGGUGGGCCCACCACGCCCCCAAGGGGUCCACAUGGGUUUAUUGGAUGCGCAAUAAGGCAUAAUGGGCUGAUAAAGUCAUCCAAGGAAAGCCCAUGAGGAAAAAGUGGAAAAUCCAAAAGAGGUGGGAAAUUAAGGAAGGAGUCCUAAUCCAAGUGGAGUUGGAGGAGAACUCCUCCCGCCUCCACUUCGGCCGAUCCAAGGGAGCCUCCAUUGUGGCGCCAAGGCUACCUCAUCCCUCCUCCUAUAUUUACUACAAGUUUAGGGCUUUUUGAGACACAAAUUUGCCACGUGCAUCCCUAAACCUCUUCUUCGUAGUUCUUCCUCUAGAUCGGUUUUCUGCGGAGCUCGGGCGGAGCCCUGCAGGAAUAGAUCACCACCACCACCGGAGCGUCGUCGCACUUCCGGGGAACUCAUCUACAUCCCCGUCUCUCUUACUGGAUCAAGAAGGCGGAGAUCGUCAUCGAGCUGUAUGUGUGCGGAACGCGGAGGUGUCGUCCGUUCGGCACUUGAUUGGGACGGAUCACGAGACGGUUCGUGGGACAGAUCGUGGGACGUUUCGUGAGACGGAUCGUGAAGAUGUACCACGACAUCAACCACAUUUAUUAACGCUUCUUCUUAGCGAUCUACAAGGGCAUGUGGAUCCAAUCUCCUUCUCGUAGAUGAUCAUCACCAUGAUAGGUCUUCUUGUGCGUAGGAAUUUUUUUGUUUCCCAUGCAACGUUCCCGAACACCACCUUCUAUGGCCAAAAACAGAGGAGAGAGGUGCAGGGGCGAGGAUAUAUAUAUGCAUCUUUUUAGUCAUGAUUGGUGUCUAAAACCGGGACUGAAGACAAACCUAUAGUCCCAGUUGGAGACACCAACCGAGACUAAAGGGGUUGCGCCAGGAGCGAAGGCCUUUAGUCCCGAUUGGUGUCUAGAACCGAGACUAAAGGUCCUAGUCGAACUGGGACUGAUGCGUGCCUAGGACCGGCCGGCGUCCUAGCCACUCGAACUGGGAAUUAUGCUCACAUUACUCCUGGUUCGUAACAAGACCGGGACAAAUUAAUGCUAUGAUAUGGCCAGAACCAAAGUCAUGUUUUCUACUAGUGACAUUCUCAAUUUAAAUGUACUAAUGUGUAUUUAUAACAUUCUAUAUAAAUUAGACAUAAAGUUUGAUGGGUUCAUUUAUAAGAAUCAAUGUAUUUCUAUUAUUUCAUAAAACUAAAUAUUUUGAAGAAAAAAGUGGACUUAUUAACUUAUAUUAACCUUUUCAGAAUGUUACAAAAGUUUGACAUAUAUGUUGCCCACUACACUAGUUGUCACCGUGCGACUGUUGGACCCCUCAAACCUCGAAGGUUGCCGCGAAAGACAAAUUCUGAUUCCAAGUAAUGGAUAGUUUCAUAUCCUUUGGGUUAACCGGAUUCCAAAUCCAAAGGUUAGGGAAAGCACACGAUCGCAUUCUCCCGUUUCCCUUGCCAUGAUGUGCGUGGCCUACUUGAGCAUGGCUUUCUAUGUUGGUUGAUUUGCAUGAUUCGCUGUCUCUCAUAGCGCUAGCAGUUCCUGCAACGACCUACCCUUCCUGUCGAGAUUCAUGGCAGUGCCUGUGUGAGAGCGUAAUGGAGGCAACACUGCAGGAAUCGGGGAAUUUUCCAUCUGCGUGAUCUUUGUCAUCUGCUGGCUGAUGGCAAAGAGACUCUUUGCCGUCUGUUUGCUGAUGGCAAAGAGACUCUUUGCCAUCAUCUUCGGAAAACAGACGACAAAGAACAUGCUAAUGGAAAAGAUACUCUUUGCCAUCAGUGCAUUCUUUGUCGUCUGUUGGCGAACGGCAAAAAUGGACCGGGCAGAUGGCAAAGAAAUAGCUAAUGGCAAAGAUCGUCCACACACACGGCAAAGAGUCACCACAGCUGGAGCCAUCACCUUUGCCAUCUUCGGCCUCUUUGCCGUCCGCCCACACCUUCUUUGCCGUUUGCCUGAUCCCUGGGCGGACGACAAAGGGGAUGGCGUCCCACCUCCCCACUAAUGGCGCCCCACCUAGGUCACCCCGAUCCCCACUCUCUCUCUCUCUCUCUCACUCACUAUCCCCCGGUCCCCACCCCGCACCGCCCCCACCCGGCGCAGCCCCCCACCCGGCGGCUUCCCCAUCCGCCGAGCCGCCCCACCACCGCGAUGCCCCCACCCCGCACAGCCCCCUAUGUCGGCCCCCUCCCUCCACCGCCCCCUUCCCCCGCCGACCCCCUCCCCGCACCGCCCCCUCCCCCACGUCGGCCCUCUCCCUGUGCNNNNNNNNNNNNNNNNNNNNNNNNNNNNNNNNNNNNNNNNNNNNNNNNNNNNNNNNNNNNNNNNNNNNNNNNNNNNNNNNNNNNNNNNNNNNNNNNNNNNUAUAUAUAUAUAUAUAUAUAUAUUUCUUGUGUGUUUGAUAGCUAGUCAAGAUGAGUGAUCGUGCGUGGAUGUACACCAGUCACACUAGUCAGAAAGAGAUGACUAAAGAAUAGUUUACAACAACCAAGGAGUUUGUGAAUGCUGCAUUUACAAAGGCUAGACAACAAACUGGUGCCCCUGUCCUAGGUGCAAUAACUAUAAAAAGAGGACAGAGGCUAUAAUGGUUAAACACCUGUAGAUGAGGGGUUUUACGUGUGAUUAUACAGUGUGGACAUUUCAUGACGAGUCUGCCCAACGCACCAGAGCUGAGGUGGUUCGUCGUUGCACCGACAAGCAUGGUACCGAGAUCGAAGACAUGGUGCAAGACUUUGAUGAUGCUUGGGAUUUGGAUGAUGAGAUGGAGGAAUCUAUAAAGGCCUUCUAUGAAAUGUUGGAGUCUUCAAAACAUCCUCUCCACGAGCACACUCAGCUUUGUCAGCUCGAUGCGAUUGCACAAGUAAUGGCUCUGAAGGCUCAAUUAAACUUGGGAAGAGAAUGCAUGCGAUGAUGACACUAUUUGGAUGCUUUUUACCCAAAGGCCAUGUCAUGCCUGCAAACCUGUACCAGUCGGACAAAAUACUUCGUGUACUUAAGAUGCCCUAUGAGAAGAUACAUUCUUGUGAGAAAGGAUGUGCCUUAUUUAGGCUUGAGUAUGCGGACUUGAACUAUUGUCCCAUUUGCAAGUCUUAUAGGUAUGUUGUGGUAGACAAUGGUAUGGGUGAGAAGAUCCAGACCCAAAUCCUAGUUAAUGUUCUUAGGUAUAUGACAAUCAUACCAAGGCUUCAACGUCUUUUCAUGUUCAAAGAGGCGGCCAAACUGAUGACAAGGCACAAAUUGGGCAAAAAUCCGAACUAGAUGCAGAUGAGAAUAAGAAGUUGGUACACGCAUUGGAUGCUUUUGCAUGGAAGCACUUCGAUGCAUUACAUCUGGAUAAAGCGGCAGAUCCAAGGCAUACUCGAGUCCGCGUCACCACAGAUGGGUUCAAUCCCUUUGGUAUGACGGAAAACCAAUACAGUAAUUGGCAUGUAUUUGUCAUUCCACUCACCCCCGGUCAGAUUAUGCAUAGAAAGAACAUAUUCCUGACGUUGAUAAUUCCAGGGCCCAACUAUUUGGGGAAGAAUAUGAAUGUGUACAUGCAGCCGCUUAAGGAUGAAUUGCAGGAAGCUUGGGAUAAUGGGUUCAAGACAUAUGACAUCGCUAGAAAAGAAAACUUCAAAAUGCAUGUCUAGUACAUGUACUUGAUGCAUGACUUGUCGGUGUAUGCGCCAUUCUCUUGCUGGUGUGUGCAUGGCAGGUUCCCAUGCCCCACAUGCAAGGCAGAUCUUCAGUUUCAUUGGUUGCAGGCGGGUCGAAAGUACUCUUGCUUUGACUUCCAUAGAAAGUUCCUGGAUCCUCGCUAUCAGUUCAGAUAAGACAAGAAGAACUUUAGUAAAGGAAAAGUGGUCAAAAAACUCGGCACCACCUGCAUUGACAGGCCAACAGAUCCUGGAUCGGUUAAACUCUCUCGAGCGUGAUCCAGAGCGUCUAGGGUAUUUCAAGGGGUAUAAUUCACAACACGCCUGGACUCACAAGACAUGCUUGUGGGAUCUGCCUUACUUCAAAGACUUCCUUCUUCCACACAACAUCGACAUGAUGCACACUGAAAAGAAUAUCGUAGAGGCCAUUUUUGGUACAUUGUUUGGCAUAGAGGGGAAGUCAAAGGAUAAUCCUAAGGCUAGAGAUAGUUAAGAGACUCUAUGUCAUAGACCGUUACAAAACAUGCGACAAUCGAAAGGAAAGCAAAACUGGUCGAAGCCAAAGGUCUGGUACAAUCUUGGAAGGUCAGCUAUGAGGGAAAUUAUCUUGUAGGUCAAAAUGCACUUGAUGUUCCUCGAUGGGUCAGCGAAUCUAAAGAGGGGAGCGAGUCCUUUAAAAAUUGAAAAUAUUUGGUCUCAAGAGUCAUGAUUGGCACAUAUGGCUUGAGCGGGUAAUGAUGGUGAUGUUACGUGGCUUUAUUCCCGAGGAUGAAUGUCUAGUACUGGCAGAGCUGAGCUAUUUCUUUCGUGUUCUUUGUGCGAAAGAACUAUAGCGUGUGUGGUAGAUGACAUCGAGGAGUUGGCGCCAGAGUUUCUCUGCAAUUUAGAGAAGAUAUUUCCACCUAGCUUCUUUAAUCCAAUGCAACAUUUGAUUUUACAUCUCCCGACCGAGGCAAGAUUGGGUGGGCCCCUGCAAAAUCGUUGGUGCUUUGCAACCAAGAGGAUGCAGAAGACGCUUCAAGAAAAAUGUAACAAUAAAUGUAGAAUGAAGCAUCGAUGGUCGAGACAUUCAUUACUGAGGAGGUGGCAAACUUCAUGAUAGCACACUACGAAGCUAGAAAUCGUCAUUUGCAUAAUCCGAAGCCUCGGUACAAUGAUGGCGACCCUAGAAAAGGAGGAUCCAACCUUAGCUUACUCAAAGGGAAGCUCGCAUCAGCUGGUGCUUCGAAACCAAUAAUGUUGGAUGUCGAAGAAUGGCUGGCCAUUUCCUUGUAUAUCUUCAACAACCUAACAGAAGUGCGGCCGUACAUCGAGUAAGUUCUCGGUACAUUUUUUCGCAACUUCUCAUUCCUUUGAACUGAUCUUAUUCCUAGAUACCUGAUACAGUCAAUACGUCGCCAAAUUCUCGGAAGGAGCGGUGAUCCAAAAUGAUUGCGUCGAAGAGUAUGAGAUUCUGGCAAAGCAUGGAGGCGGCUACCCCGGUUUCAUCUCUUGGUUCAAACAAACGGUAAUUACCAAUGAUGGACCAAUUCAUUUCUUGGUCUAAUUUGUGGUUAAUGCAACAAUCAUUUCAUAUUUAACAUGUAGGAUAAUUCAGAGUCUAUGGAUGCCGAAUUGUGACAAGCCACUAAUGGUUUUGACUAUAAGGUCCGUUCAUUUGAGAAAUACAACAUCAACGAGUAUCACUUUCGUACCUUUGGCAAAGAGCUAUCUAUGCCCGACCGGAAAUCUACAAAUUGUGGCGUCUCUCCUAUCGACAAAGGAGGUACCGAGUAUUAUGGAAGAGUUGAAGCAAUUUAUGAACUUCAAUUCUAUGGUGAAAACCCACCGAACGUCGUAGUCUUGAAAUGUUAUUGGUUCCCGCCGAAGGAGACUAGAAGGACUCAUGAACAUAUAGGGCUAGUCGAAAUCAAUCAAAGCACCCAUUUAGAUGUUCCCAAUGUCUAUAUUACAGCUCAACAGGCGACCCAAGUUUUCAAUCUAUUGUGGGCCUACCAAAGCAAUUAGAAUCUGAAUGGUUGGGAUGUUGUUUAUGAAGUGUCGCCGCAUGCUAGACCACCUCCCCCAAAUGAAGAGGAUUAUGAACCUCAAAUUAACCCAGACACAUAUGACGGAGAAUUCUUCAAAGAAACAAUUUUUCCAAGAAAUGUUUCUAGAAUCGCUCUACUUCAUCCCACAACAUGGAAGUAGACAUCAAUAGUGAAUCCGACCUCACCCCUGAGCCGGAACCAGCAGAGCCGGAACUAGAAGAGGUUACUGCCACGGAUGGCCUGUUAAUGCUUGACCGAUUACAGAAAGGGCUUCCAUGUGUUGAUGUCAGUGAACCUGAUGAGCACGUCAUUUAUGACGAAAUGCGUGAUAGUGAUGAUGAUGAUGAUGCAUGUAUUGAUCCCGGAGCAUAUAUAGACGAUCCAGACUAUUAUUAGUUUGUAUGCAUCCCAACUUUUUAUUCAUGUCAGGUAUUCAAUUUUUUUAUGUUGUACUAAUUUCUUUUACUCUUUGUCAUGGAAGGUGUUGAAAGAUGGUGGGCGUGGGUCCAGAUCGCUCGGGGGGUACUUCUUCCUCGGCGGCCCGCUGGAGGGGUCCUUCCAUUCCACCCCUAUCUCAUUGGAGAGCGUUGGAAGAUAGUCUGGGGACUCCCACGGGUGCUUCUUCAUCGGCGUCGUUGUCCACCAGGAGAGGAGGUCGGGUAGGGAAGAAGGCAAAGGGUACAGUACAUGGCUGUGAGAGAAGUAGACGGACCGCUAUGUCAUCCUCACCGCCACCCCAGCUCAUUCACCCGAGCACAGGACUACAAGGGUGGACCCAUUUGAGGUGGAGGCUAUGGGGACUCCACACCAGGAGCCUCGGGUCGACGGGCCUUCAUCCCAUGAGACUUCGGUUCCAGAGGCUUCGGCACACGAGACUCUUAUACCAGGUGCUACGUCCUAGGAGACUCCCGCCCCAGAGGCUUCGUCCGGAUGGUGUCGUGGUUUUGUCAUGGCAGAUGUCCUCGUGAAAGGACUUAGAGAUGGAGCCAUCGCACCUUGGUGGCGACUCAAAGGAGUUAAGCGGAAGCGAGACUCGGGUUUACCCAGGUUCGUCCCCUCCGAUGGAGGUAAAAGCCUACGUCCUACUUUGUGUAUAUUGAUGGUGGAAUUGAUUACAAGGGUGCGUAACUCGCUUGACCUAGCUCUCGAUGGAUUGUAACUUAAGUCUAUCAACCCUAGAGACUCGCCUUUAUAUACAGGUCGAAGCCCUAGGCUUACAAGAGUCCAAAUCAUAUCACAAGUCGUGACCUGACAUAUCUCUAAGCCGUCGUGCCUCUCAAGUAAGGAAUUUGAACGGCGAGCCUUCUUCUUCUUGGGCCCUGAGUCAUCGUCUGGGCCCUUGGGCUUGGCCGGAUCUUCUUUGAAGAACACUUCAUGCCUUCCAUAUUCCGGGCCUAAGCCCAUCUUCGGGUCACAAGUGUUGAAUCACCAUGAGCCUGACUCGGCCCAAUAGGGCGGGUCAGGCAACGGAUAAUAUUCCCAACAUUAGGCCCCAGAUUGACUUGAAUUUAUUCACGCCAAUAUACCUUCACACUUGACCAUGGCGACUCACAUAUGAUCUUUGACCUUUCUUCUUAAAGAAUGACAAGCCGCCAAUCUUCGUGCUCUGCCUGAAUCGCUAGGUCUUUUUACGAGUGAUGUCAUCUCCAACGAAUCUUUUGACUUAUCAUGCCCUCCCGAAAAUCUAGGCACCAUCAUUUCCUAUUUUUAAUGCGCCCCCUCGGCUCCCGCGCUUGCCGUUUCAAUGCCAUCCGUGGGUCCUUUAAUAGUCGCGAAGGGAGGGGUCCUUCGCCUUCGUCUACAUCACCACUCUGCCUCUUCUUCUUCGAGCCCGUGCUGCAAACACUCCGCCAUUGCAGAGCUCCGCACUUCGGAUCCACCGCCUCUUGGAUUGACCGAGCACAACCUCGACUUGGAUCUCCACGGUUACCUCUGCCGCCGUCUGCAUUUAUUCAGGUGAGUCUUUCUCCUCCACUGAUCCGGUUUGCGAAUCUCCGAUGUUCUUAGGCACCACUAGAGUUCUUUGAACCUCUAUUGACUGCACCAUUAACCCCAUAAGUACUGCUUGAAUCCCGAACUUUAAUAAGUGAUUGCGGUAGAUUAGCGAGUAGUCUGUAGAAGAUCUUUGCUCAUUUUACUUUCUUCGCAAGGUCACCUCAUAGAUCGUACAGUUUUCCUGCGUCUUCAGUGUUCCUGGAAUCGUGAAUUAUUUUUCCUUUUAGAACCACCUGUGGAUCUAGAGUUUCUGGCAUCACGUUUGGAAACGUGUUUGUCUCCAAUCCAAAAAAUUGUCUAAGGGAUUUUUUUUUAAAUAUAACCCACCCUUAGGUUGUGGCGAGUCACAACGUGUGUUUAGGUGUCUCCCCAGCCACUUAUUGGUGAGUUAAUACUGUGUAGAUCCUUGAGACCCGCCUACCGCUUUUAUGUAGAUUUCUGUCCCGUCUUUUGAGUUUGUGGCCAUGGGCACCAUCUCCAAAAUUAAUUUGUUGCAAUCAGAGAUCAACGACACCGUUCUUGAAGAAUUUGUAAAGGUGGGAACUCUAGCACCACAGGAAGCAAUCGGCUGGCGACCAGCCUUAGGAGAGCGAUGUCCACAACCCGCCAGUGGGGAAGUGGUGGUAUUUACUGACCACAUCGAGUGGGGCUUCACACCGCCCGACUCAAAAAAUUCAGAGACGCCCUGCACUUUUUUAAUCUCCAUCCCAAGACUUAGGCCCAAACUCCAUCAACAACCUCUGUCAAUUCCAAGUAUUAUGUGACGCCCUGCAAAUGGAGCCUACCGUCCUCCUGUUCACGAAGUUCUUCUACUUGAACCGCCAAACUGAGUUUGCCGACAGCCCCUGCCUAGAACUCGGAGGGGUCAACAUUCAGAGACAACAAGAAUGCGGGUUCCGGCUGCUGCUCUGCCCAGUCACCCCAAAGGUUUGGGGUUGACUUGGUUUUACUUUCGCAACACUUCUCCAACUGUUGGAAAUAUUCCCUAGAGGCAAUGAUAAAAUAGUUAUUAUUAUAUUUCCUAUUUCAAGAUAAUCGUUUAUUAUCCAUGCCAUAAUUGUAUUGAAUGAAAGCAUAGAUACAUGUGUGGAUACAUAGACAAAACAAUGUCCCUAGUAAGCCNNNNNNNNNNNNNNNNNNNNNNNNNNNNNNNNNNNNNNNNNNNNNNNNNNNNNNNNNNNNNNNNNNNNNNNNNNNNNNNNNNNNNNNNNNNNNNNNNNNNNNNNNNNNNNNNNNNNNNNNNNNNNNNNNNNNNNNNNNNNNNNNNNNNNNNNNNNNNNNNNNNNNNNNCGAUCACAUCAUUAGGAGAAUGACGUGAUGGACAAGACCCAAAUUAUAAAUGUAGCAUGUGAUCAGAUCAUUUUGUUGCUAUUGUUUUCUACGUGUCAAGUAUUCAUUCCUAUGACCAUGAGAUCAUGUAUCUCAUUGACACCGGAGGAAUAACUUGUGUGUAUCAAACGUCACAACGUUACUGGGUGACUAUAAAGGUGCUCUAGAGGUAUCUCUGAAGGUGUCCGUUGAGUUAGCAUGGAUCGGGACUGGGAUUUGUCACUCCGUGUGACGGAGAGGUAUCUCAGGGCCCACUCGGUAAUAUAACAUCACAUAUAAGCCUUGCAAGCAAUGUGACUCAAGUGUAAGUCACGGGAUCUUGUAUUACAGAGCGAGUAAAGAGACUUGCCGGUAACGAGAUUGAAAUAGGUAUAGAGGUAACGACGAUCAAAUCUCGGGCAAGUAACAUACCGAAGGACAAAGGGAAUGUUAUACGGGAUUAUAUGAAUCCUUGGCACAAAGGUUCAACCGAUAAGAUCUUCGUAGAAUAUGUAGGAUCCAAUAUGGACAUCCAGGUCCCGCUAUUGGAUAUUGACCGCGGAGUGUCUUUGGUCAAGUCUGCACAGUUCUCGAACCCGCAGGGUCUGCACACUCAAGGUUCAGUGACGUUUUAGUAUAGUUGAGUUAUAUGUGUUGGUGACCGAAGGUUGUUCGGAGUCCCGGAUGAUAUCAAGGAUGUCACGAGGGUUUCCGGAAUGGUAUGGAAACGAAGAUCGAUAUAUAGGAUGGUUUCAUUUGGUCACCAGAAAGAUUUUGGGCAUUACCGGAAGUGUACGGGGAGUGACGAAUGGGUNNNNNNNNNNNNNNNNNNNNNNNNNNNNNNNNNNNNNNNNNNNNNNNNNNNNNNNNNNNNNNNNNNNNNNNNNNNNNNNNNNNNNNNNNNNNNNNNNNNNAUGGGGCACGUUCUGGUGCCUUGUCGGAGGGGGAUUCGGACACGGAAGGCUUCUCCAUCAACACCAUUGCCUCUCCGAUGAUGCGUGAGUAAUUCACCAUAGACAUUCGGGUCCAUAGCUAGUAGCUAGAUGGCUUCUUCUCUCUCUUGGAUCUUCUAUACAAAUUUCUCCAUGAUCUUCAUGGAGAUCUAUCCGAUGUAAUCUUCUUUUGCAGUGUGUUUGUCGAGAUCCGAUGAAUUGUGAAUUUAUGAUCAGAUUAUCUAUGAAUCUUAUUUUAGUUUCUUCUGAUCUCUUAUAUGCAUGAUUUCAUAUCCCUGUAAUUCUCUUCGAGUUGUGGGUUUUGUUUGGCCAACUUGAUCUAUGAUUCUUGCAAUGGGAGAAGUGCUUGGUUUUGGGUUCAUACCGUGUGGUGACCUCACCCACUGACAGAAGGGGUAGCGAGGCACGCAUCUUGUUGUUGCCAUCAAGGGUAAAAAGAUGGGGUUUAUAUCUAUUGCAUGAAUUUAUCCCUCUACAUCAUGUCAUCUUGCUUAAGGCGUUACUCUGUUUGUCAUGAACUCAAUACACUAGAUGCAUGCUGGAUAGCGGUCGAUGUGUGGAGUAAUAGUAGUAGAUGCAGAAAGUAUCGGUUUACUUGUCUCGGACGUGAUGCCUAUAUGUAUGAUCAUUGCCUUAAAUAUUGUCAUGACUUUGCGCGGUUCUAUUAAUUGCUCGACAGUAAUUCGUUCACCCACCGUAAUAUUUGCUAUCUUGAGAGAAGCCUCUAGUGAACACUAUGGCCCCCCGAGUCUACUUCACAUCAUAUUUUCAGCCCUACACUUUUACUUUGUUGCACNNNNNNNNNNUGCCUUUAGAUCUCACCUUGCAAUGAAUAGUGAAGGGAUUGACAACCCCUUUGUAGCGUUGGGUGCAAGUUUGCUGUUUUUGCGCAGGUACAUUGGUGCCUCAUCUUGAUACUCCUACUGGAUUGAUACCUUGGUUCUCAAACUGACGGAAAUACUUACUGCUACUAUGCUGCAUCACCCUUUCCUCUUCAAGGGAAAAAAACCAACGCAAGCUCAAGAGGUAGCAGUGGUGCAUGGGCGAAUGGCAAGCCAUCCACGACAAUGCGAAGGACCGGCGUGCCCAAAUGGUAGGUGUGCCACACCAUCAAGGCAGCACCAACUUAUUUUAGUUUGGACGAAACUGGGUAUGUGGUUUGCUUCAUGAUUCAUGCAAUUCAUUCUUCAUGCUGGCUUGAGCCCUUUAUUAAUACUUUGUUCUCUCUUUUAGGUGCAUCACAACAACAUGGAGGUGCCACAUGUGUACGACCUCUAUGGCAUGGCCCAUACUGCCUCCGAAAAGAAGGUCAAGGCAUUCUCUGAGUCUAACCUCGAUCAUCCUGAGAAGUUCACCAACAUCUCCUCCCACAACAAGCUCGUGAGAUACAAGGAGGCGGGUAAGGCAAGGAAAGGGGAGGACUUUAACCCGAGCCAGGAAUCUUUGGAUCCAGAGUUGGUGAUGAUAUCUGGUGGCGGGAAGCUCCAUGGCUCGAUAGCCAUUGGAGAUGGGCUGAUACAUUGUCCUCUCACUCUCCCGGAGAUCAAGGCACGCCACACAAGCUCCUGUCCUGAGAUAAGGCCUCGUCCACGGCCAGACGAUCUCGCCAUUGAGGUUAGUUAUACGGACUCAGGAAACUUUCCUCCAUUACAUUGUGUGUGUGGCCAUCGAUGAUUACAAUGCCAACGAGGAGUGGUGUUGCACGCUUCUCUUCAGAGAGAGAAAGAGAGCGACAAUUCAUGAGCUUCUGCAGGAGAGGGACCGGGUGGCGACGGAGAGGGACCGGGUGGCAGCGGAGAUGGAUCGGGCCGGGGAGGAGAAGACGGCUCGGUUGUUGGAGGAGGAGAGGGCACGAAAUGAGGCGGCUCAUCGGGCCAUGUACGAGAUCCUUGUGGUAACUUUCUUUUUCACAUUAGCCAAAUCAUGCACGUAAUGUCCAUUUCAUUACUAACUAAUAUGUAUGACUCUUCAAAACUAAAUAUGCAGUCUAUUGCGAGAAGACUGGCCACACCCCUCCGCCGAUGCCAGACAUUUUUUCUGUUGGAACGGUUAGUUUCAUUUGAAUGGUCAUUAGUUACUAGCAUUAACAUUUGAGUGUCAUCAUGCUAACAAGAAUUGCAAAAUAUCUUUGGUGCAGAAUAAUUCCCGUGCAACAUCGCACAACCCUUCUCUAGGGCAACCUUCUCUAGGUGAACCCGCCCGAAGCAACCCCGGUGAUUCACAUCCUUGAUGAUGAGGACGGUAAAUUUUCUCUAGUGUUCUUCUUAACAAAUGCAUAAUUAGCUUCGUACAUGCGAGUUAGCCCUAUUAUGCGACAUACUUAUCUUAUUUUCCCCAUGAAAGACAUACUUAGCUAAUUAUCCUCCAAAAUGACAUAAUUAGCUUAUUUAGUUCAUUUAUGACAUAAUUAGCCCAGUUAGGUCAAAAAUAGCAUAAGAACUUUGGUUAGCUCAGAAAUGUCAUAUACUUAUCUUAUCUUUCUCCUAAAUGACAUAAUAAGCUCAAAAUAAGAUAAGUAUUGUAAUCAUCUUCUCUUUCUUCUUCUCCUUAUUUUUCUCCUUCUUCUUCUUAUUCUCCUCCUUCUUCUUCUCCUACUCCUCCUUCUUCUUGUCUUUCUCCUCCUCCUUGUUCUUCUUAUCCUCUUUCUUCUUCUCCUUCUCCUUCUUCUUCUUCUCCUCCUCCUCCUUCUUCUCCUUCUCCUACUCCUCCUCCUCCAUCUUCUUCUUCUCCUUCUUCUUCUUCUUAUCCUCCUCCUCCUCCUCCUUCUCCUCCUCCUCCUCCUCCUUCUUCUUCUGCUUCUCCUUCUUCUUCACCUUCUCCUUCUUAUUCUCCUUCUUCUGCUUCUUCUCCUUCUCCUCCUCCUUCUUCUCCUUCUUCUCCUUCUCCUUCUCCUUAUCCUUCUCCUUCUCUCUCCUUCUCCUUCUCCUUCUCCUUCUCCUUCUCCUUCUCCUUCUCCUUCUACUUCUCCUGCUCCUUAUGCUUCUCCUUCUGCUUCUCCUCCUCCUCCUCCUCCUUCUUCUUCUUCUUCUUCUUCUUCUUCUUAUUCGUCCUCCUCCUCCUCCUCUUCUUCUUCUUAUUCCUCUUCUUCUUAUUAUUCCUCUUCUUCUUCUUCUUCUUCUUCUUNNNNNNNNNNNNNNNNNNNNNNNNNNNNNNNNNNNNNNNNNNNNNNNNNNNNNNNNNNNNNNNNNNNNNNNNNNNNNNNNNNNNNNNNNNNNNNNNNNNNAGCAUAAAUUCAAAAAAUUUCCUACGCUUAUUCNNNNNNNNNNGCGCUUGGCACCACUCCAAGAUCCGUCAUGAACUGCUUCAUCCAGACACCCUCCUUAGCCGCCUCCGAGGCAGCCAUGUACUCCGCUUCACAUGUAGAAUCUGCUACGACGCUUUGCUUGGAACUGCACCAGCUUACCGCACCCCCAUUAAGAAUAAAUACGUAUCCGGUUUGCAACUUAGAGUCGUCCGGAUCUGUGUCAAAACUUGCAUCGACGUAACCCUUUACGGCGAGCUCUUCGUCACCUCCAUACACGAGAAACACUCCUUAGUCCUUUUCAGGUACUUCAGGAUAUUCUUGACCGCCGUCCAGUGAUCCACUCCUGGAUUACUCUGGAACCUGCCUGCCAUACUUAUGGCCAGGCUAACUGUUGGGGAACGUAGCAUAAAUUCAAAAAAUUUCCUACGCUUAUUCAGAUCUUCCUAUGGAGAGACCAGCAACGAGAGAGGGGUAAGAGCAUCUUCGUACCUUUGAAGAUCGCUAAGCAGAAGCGUUGCUAGAACACGGUUGAUGGAGUCGUACUCGCAGCGAUUCUGAUCUAGUGCCGAACAACGGCACCUCCGCGUUCAACACACGUGCAGCCCGGUGACGUCUCCCGCACCUUGAUCCAGCAAGGAGGAGGGAGAGGUUGGGGAAGAAGUCCAGCAACACGACGGCGUGGUGUCGAUGGAGAGACGAGGUCUCCCGGCAGGGCUUCGCCAAGCACCGGCAGAGAGGAGGAGGGAGAGGAGCAGGGCUGCGCCGAGAGAGAGAGAUUCAACCGUGUCUCAAACAGCCCCGAACCUCAUCUAUAUAUAGGGGGAGAGGGAGGGGGCGCAGCCCUUAGGGUUCCCACCCCUAAGGGGUGCGGCAGCCCUUAGAUGGGAGAGGGGUGGCGGCCAGGGCAAGGAGGAGGGGUGGCACACCCCUCUGGUGGGCCUUAGGCCCACCUAAGCUAGGGUCCCCCCCUUCCCCUUUUUUCUGGUGCGCAUGGGCUGGGUGGGGGGCGCACCAGCCCACUUAGGGGCUGGUUCCCUUCCCCACUUAGCCCAUCUAGCCUCCCGGGGUCGUUGCCCCCCUUCGGUGGUCCCCCGGGACCACCUCCGGUGGUCCCGGUACGUUACCGGUGAUGCCCAAAACACUUCCGGUGUCCGAAACCAUCCGUCCUAUAUAUCAAUCUUUACCUCCAGACCAUUCUGGAGCUCCUCGUGACGUCCGAGAUCUCAUCAGGGACUCCGAACAACUUUUGGUAACCUCAUACAACAAUUCCCUAUAACCCUAGCGUCAUCGAACCUUAAGUGUGUAGNNNNNNNNNNNNNNNNNNNNNNNNNNNNNNNNNNNNNNNNNNNNNNNNNNNNNNNNNNNNNNNNNNNNNNNNNNNNNNNNNNNNNNNNNNNNNNNNNNNNUACUUGCCCGAGAUUCGAUCGUCAGUAUCCGNNNNNNNNNNUACAUAUUCUACGAAGAUCUUAUCGUUUGAACCUCAGUGCCAAGGAUUCGUAUAAUCCCGUAUGUCAUUUCUUUUGUCCUUCGGUAUGUUACUUGCCCGAGAUUCGAUCGUCAGUAUCCGCAUACCUAUUUCAAUCUCGUUUACCGGCAAGUCUCUUUACUCGUUCCGUAAUACAAGAUCCCGCAACUUACACUAAGUUACAUUGCUUGCAAGGCUUGUGUGUGAUGUUGUAUUACCGAGUGGGCCCCGAGAUACCUCUCCGUCACACGGAGUGACAAAUCCCAGUCUCGAUCCAUACUAACUCAACGAACUGCUUCGGAGAUACCUGUAGAGCAUAUUUAUAGUCACCCAGUUACGUUGCGACGUUUGAUACACACAAAGCAUUCCUCCGGUGUCAGUGAGUUAUAUGAUCUCAUGGUCAUAGGAACAAAUACUUGACACGCAGAAAACAGUAGCAACAAAAUGACACGAUCAACAUGCUACGUCUAUUAGUUUGGGUCUAUUCCAUCACGUGAUUCUUCUAAUGACGUGAUCCAGUUAUCAACCAACAACACCUUGUACAUAAUCAGAAGACCCUGACUAUCUUUGAUCAACUGGCUAGCAAACUAGAGGCUUGCUAGGGACAGUGUUUUAUCUAUGUAUCCACACAUGUAUAUAAGUCUUUAUUCAAUACAAUUAUAGCAUGGAUAAUAAACGAUUAUCUUGAUACAGGAAUUAUAAUAAUAACUAUAUUUAUUAUUGCCUCUAGGCAUAAUUCCAACACGUCUCCCACUUGCACUAGAGUCAAUAAUCUAGCCCUCACAUCAUCAUGCGAAUUACAUUGUAAUAAAUCUAACACCCAUACAGUUCUGGUGUUGAUCAUGCUUUGCCCGUGGAAGAGGUUUAGUCAGCGGGUUUGCUACAUUCAGAUCCGUGUGCACUUUGCAUAUAUUUNNNNNNNNNNNNNNNNNNNNNNNNNNNNNNNNNNNNNNNNNNNNNNNNNNNNNNNNNNNNNNNNNNNNNNNNNNNNNNNNNNNNNNNNNNNNNNNNNNNNAGACGGCAAAGCCCCCCGCCACGGCAGACGGCAAAGACCCCCCCACCAACGGUAGACGGCAAAGCCCCCCCCCCCUGCGCGGUAGAUGGCAAAGCCCCCCUCCCCACGGCACACAACAAAGUCUCCCCCCAUGGAAGACGGAAAAGUCUCCGUCAGCUAUCUAACAGAGUAGGUCCCUAUCGGUUGUCGUCUAGUUUACUUUGCCGUCUGCUUGCUAUGGCGGACCGAUGGCAAAGAACUUUGUCGUCCACUACUAGGCGGCAGACGGCAAAGGACGUCUUCACCAGCGCUAGCUACCGUGGAAAUUUUGUCGUCCGCCGUCGGACGGCAAAAGUCUUUGUCGUUCGUGGAGUGGCCCUUUGUUGUCCGCUAUGGCAGACGACAAAGAAUAUGAUUCGUGUAGUGCAAGCGUUUUUGUGAGCCUUCUUGAUCUCAUCGAGGUAGCCAUAAAUUUUAUUCUCAUGCCCACCUUCGUGGGAGCUUGAGGGGAGACAUACACAAUGUGUUGGGGAGGGAUCUCUGCAGGAGCUGAGCACGGUGGGGCUUGCUGGAGUGAGGAGAAGCGCAAGAAGUAAGGUGGAGGGGUAGCACUAUGUCUUGCUUAGAGCGAGAUCUAGCGUGCUUUCGCGCUUGGCACCUCCCUAAAUGGGUCGGCCCAAACGUGUGGGAGGUCACAGCCUUGUUUCAAUAUUUUUUUCAUGUUUUUUGUUUGUUUUUUCUUUCUUCUUUACUUUUGUUUAUACUUCCACAUAUUAUAAGCAAAUAUAUUACAAAAACUAAUUUCCAUAAAUGAAUUUAAAAAAUGUUAAAUGUGUCAAAAGCAUGUACGUAAAAUGUAUACAAAAGAUAUACAAUGUGUGUGUAAAAAGUUCAUCAAGUAUUUUUAAAAUGUUGAUAAAGCAUUUGAAAAAUAUACCAAACAAGUAGUUAAAAAAUGUUAAUCGAGCUUUUAGAAAUGUUAAACAUGUACAGAAAAAUAUUGGCCAUGUAUUUAGAAAAUGUUAAAUAUGUAAAAAAUAAUAUUGUAUCGUAUUAAAAAUAUUAAACUUUCAUUUGGAAAAGGUUAAUCAAGCAUUUUGUAAAUGUUAAUCAUAUAUAGAAAAAAUGUUGAUGAUGUUUUAAAAAUAACUAAUCUUGCAUUUCAAAAAUAAAAUAAUCAAGCAUUCAAAAAUAUUAAAUAUGAAAAGAAAAAUGUUGACCAUGCAUUAAAAAAUAACAUUGCAUUAAGAAAAUAUUAAUUAUGCAUUUAAAAUAUUAAAAUGUGUACAGAAAAAAUGUUCAUCAUAUAUUAUAUUUUUAUUAAAUUCACAAUUAAAAAUAUUAAUCAAGCAUAUCAAAAAUAUGAAAUUAAAUAUGUAUAAAAAAAUGUUGACCAUCCAUUCGAAAACUGAAAAAGAAGCAAAACCAAAUAUAAAUAAAUAAAUAAAAAGGAAGAAAAGAAAAAAUGCCAAUAAAAACCAAGAAAGAAACACAAAAAGAUGGCGAGAGAAAAACGAGUAAAAACCAAGAAAAAAACAGUGAAAAAAUAACACUACGGAAACCACUGAAGAAAUAGAUAAACCCCAAAGAAAACCUGAAAAAAUGGCAAAAAAUAGAAGAAACUAGUGCAUCAUCCACCGUGAGUGAUUUGAUUUUCUCGAUCGAAAACAACGAAAGAAAAAACAAACAAAUAUGGGCUGGCCUAAUAUUAUAGAGGGGGUGAAAAUGCUUUCGACGAGACGAGAGGAACACACUACAUAAGCUAGAUAUAGCCUUUAUCGAGGUGACGAGUACUUUUUGCAAAGAUCACUUCAUCUUUCGAGGUUGUGACAAGUAUCGCACUGCAUCUACGUGUUGGAAUUAUGCCUAGAGGCAAUAAUAAAUAUAAUUAUUAUUAUAAUUCCUGUAUCAAGAUAAUAGUUUAUUAUCCAUGCUAUAAUUGUAUUGAAUGAAGACUCAUUUACAUGUGUGGAUACAUAGACAAAACACCGUCCCUAGCAUGCCUCUAGUUGGCUAGCCAGUUGGUCAAUGAUAGUCAGUGUCUUCUGAUUAUGAACAAGGUGUUGUUGCUUGAUAACUGGAUCACGUCAUUGGGAGAAUCACGUGAUGGACUAGACCCAAACUAAUAGACGUAGCAUGUUGANNNNNNNNNNNNNNNNNNNNNNNNNNNNNNNNNNNNNNNNNNNNNNNNNNNNNNNNNNNNNNNNNNNNNNNNNNNNNNNNNNNNNNNNNNNNNNNNNNNNGUGCGUAGGAAAUUUUUGUUUCCCAUGCAACAUUCCCUUACAGUGGCAUCAUGGACUAGGUUCAUGCGUAGAUGUUAUCUCGAGUAGAACACAAAAGUUUUUGUGGGCAUUGACGUUCGAUUUGCUUCCCUUCUUAGUCUUUUCUCGAUUCGGUGGUAUUGUUCGAUUGAAGCGGCCCGGACCGACAUUACUCGUACGCUUACGAGAGACUGGUUUCAUCGACAAACAUGCAACUUGUUGCAUAAAGAUGACUGGCGGGGGUCGGGUUCUUCAACUUUAGUUGAAUUGGAUUUGACUGAUGCGGUCCUUGGAGACGGGUUAAAUAGCAAUUCGCACAUCUUCGUUGUAGUUUUUGUGUAAGUAAUAUGCGAUCAUACUAGAUACCCAUAGCAGCCACGUAAAACAUGCAACAACAAAUUAGAGGACGUCUAACUUGUUUUUGCAGGGUAUGCUUGUGAUAUGAUAUGGCCAAAGACAUGAUGUGAUAUAUUGGAUGUAUGAGAUGAUCAUGUUGUAAUAGUUUAUAUCGACUUGCACAUCGAUGCUACGACAACCGGCAGGAGCCAUAGGGUUGUCUUUAAACUAACGUUUGUGUUUGCAGAUGCGUUUACUAUACUGCUAGGUUGUAGCUUUAGUCGUAAUAGCAUAGAUAGCACGACAACCUCGAUGACGGCAUGAUGAUGGAUAUCAUGAUGAUGGAGAUCAUAGUGUGGCGUCGGUGACAAGAAGAUCAUGCCGAUGCUUUGGUGAUGGAGAUCAAGAAGCACAAGGUCAUGGCCAUAUCAUGUCACUUAUGAAUUGCAUGUGAUGUUAAUUCUUUUAUGCACCUUAUCUUGCUCAGAACGAUGGUAGAAUUAUAAGGUGAUCCAUUGCUAAAUUUCAAGAUAAAAUUAUGUUCUCACCAAUUGUGCACCGUUGCGACAGUUCGUCAUUUCAAGACACCACGUGAUGAUCGUGUGUGAUACUCAACAUUCACAGACAACGGGUGCAAAACAGUUGCACACGUGGAACACUCGGGUUAAACUUGACGAGCCUAGCAUGUGCAGACAUGGCCUCGGAACACAAGAGACCAAAAGGUUGAGCAUGAAUCGUAUAGUUGAUAUGAUUAGCAUAGAGAUGUUUACCACUGAAACUAUACUCAACUCACGUGAUGACCGGACUUGAGUUAGUGAAUUUGGAUCAUGCCACACUCAAGUAACUAGAGGGACGUCUAUUUGAGUGAGAGUUUAUUAGUAAUUUUAUUAGUUAAACUCUAAUUGUCUUGAACAUAGUCUAAGUCCACUUUGCAAUAUUUUAUGUUGUAUAUCAAUGGCUCACGCAGUAGCAACCCUGGAUUUCAAUAUGUUCCUAGAGAAAGCUAAGUUGAAAGAUGAUGGAAGCAACUUUGUAGACUAGGCACGUAAUCUUAGGCUCAUCCUACAAGCUCGGAAAAAGAAUUAUGUCCUUGAUGCUGCGCUAGGAGAUGAACCACCCGCUACGUCUGACCAAGAUGUUUUGAACGCUUGGCAAUCGCGUAAGGAGGACUACUUAGUAGUUCAAUGUGUAGUCUUGUAUGGCUUGGAACCGGGACUUCAACGGCGCUUAGCAUAUGAGAUGUUCGAGGAGUUGAAGUUUAUCUUUCAGAAUAACGCUUGAAUUGAGAGGUAUGAGACCCCCGAUAAAUUCUAUGCUUGCAAGAUGGAGGAGAAUUCGUCUAUUAGUGAACAUUUGCUCAAAAUGUGUGGGUACUCAAACCGUCUAGCUGAGCUGGGGAUUAAACUCCCGCAAGAGGCUAUCACUGAGAGAAUUCUUCAAUCACUGCCACCUAGCUAUAAGAGCUUUGUGUUGAACUAUAACAUGCAAGGGAUGAACAAGUCACCCAACGAGUUAUUUGCGAUGCUGAAAGUCGCAGAGUCUGAACUCCGGAAAGAGCAUCAAGUGUUGAUGGUCAAUAAGACCACUGGUUUCAAGAGAAACAGCAAAGGCAAGAAGGGUAACUCCAAGAAGAGCAGCAAAACUGUUGCCAAUCCGACGAAGAAACCCAAGGCUGGACCUAAGCCGGAAACAAAGUGCUAUUAUUGCAAGGGGAUGGGUCACUGGAAGCGCAACUGCCCCAAGUAUUUGGCUGAUAAGAAGGCGGCCAAAGAAAAAUCAGGUAUAUGUGAUAUACAUGUUAUUGAUGUGUACUUAACCAACUCUCAUAGUAGUGCAUGGGUAUUUGAUACCGGUUCUGUUGCUCAUAUUUGCAACUCGAAGCAGGAACUGCGGAAUAAACGAAGGCUAGCGAAGGAUGAAGUGACAAUGCACGUGGGAAAUGGUUCCAAGGUUGAUGCAAUCGCCGUCGGCACAGUCUCACUUCAGUUACCAUCCGGAUUAGUUAUGAACUUAAAUAAUUGUUAUUUAGUGCGUGCGUUAAGCAUGAACAUUAUAUCUGGAUCUUGUUUAUUGCGAGACAGUUACUCAUUUAAGUCAGAGAAUAAUGGUUGUUCUAUUUCUAUGAGUAAUAUCUUUUAUGGUCAUGCACCCAAUGUGAGAGGUUUGUUCAUAUUGAAUCUUGAUUGUCAUGAUACACAUAUACAUAACACUGAGACCAAAAGAUGUAGAGUUAACAAUGAUAGCGCCACGUUUUUGUGGCACUGCCGCUUAGGUCAUAUUGGUGUAAAGCACAUGAAGAAACUCCAUACCGAUGGGCUUUUGGAGUCACUUGAUUUUGAAUCACUUGACACAUGCGAACCAUGCCUCAUGGGCAAAAUGACUAAGACUCCGUUCUCCGAAACAAUGGAGCGUGCAAGUGACUUAUUGAAGACCAUACAUACUGAUGUGUGCAGUCCAAUGAGUGUGAAGGCGUGUUGAAGAUAUCGUUAUUUUCUCACCUUCACCAACGAUUUGAGUAGGUAUGGAUAUAUCUACUUGAUGAAGCACAAGUCUGAAACGUUUGAGAAGUUCAAGCAAUUUCAGAGUGAAGCCGAAAAUCAUCAUAACAAGAAGAUAAAGUUCAUGCGUUCUGAUCAAGGGGGCGAAUAUCUGAGUUUCGAGUUUGGUGCCAACUUAAGACAAUGUGGAAUCGUUUCACAGUUAACACCGCCUAGAAGACCACAACGUAAUGGUGUGUCCGAACGUCGUAAUCGUACUUUGUUAGAUACGGUGCGAUCUAUGAUGUCUCUUACCGAUUUUUCGUUAUCAUUUUGGGGUUAUGCAUUAGAGACAGCAGCAUUCACUUUAAAUAGGAUACCAUGAAAAUCCAUUGAGACGACACCAUAUGAACUAUGGUAUGGCAAGAGGCCAAAGUUGUCGUUUCUUAAAGUUUGGGGAUGUGAUUCUUAUAUCAAAAAGCUUCAGCCUGAAAAGCUGGAACCCAAAGCAAAAAAGUGAGUCUUCAUAGGUUACCCAAAGGAGACAGUUGGGUACACCUUCUAUCUCAGAUCCGAGGGCAAAGUGUUUGUUGCUAAGAACAUAGCUUUUCUUGAGAAGGAAUUUCUCCCGAAAGAAUUGAGUGGGAGGAAGAUAGAACUUGAUGAGGUUGUAGAACCUCUAGUCCCUCUAGAUGGUGGCGCAGGGCAGUGGGAAACCUCUGUCAAAGCGACGCCGGUUGAGGAGGAAGCUAAUGGUGAUGAUCAUGAAGCUUCGGAUCAAGUUACUGUCGGGCCUCGCAGGUCGACAAGAUCACGUACUGCUCCUGAGUGGUACGGUAAUCCUGUCUUAUCAAUCAUGUUGUUAGACAACAAUGAACCUGCGAAUUAUGAAGAAGCAAUGGUGGGACCGGAUUCCAACAAAUGGUUGGAGGCCAUGAAGUCCAAGAUAGGAUCUAUGUAUGAAAACAAAGUGUGGACUUUGGAAGUAUUACCUGAAGGUCGCAAGGCUAUUCAGAACAAAUGGAUCUUUAAGAAGAAGACGGACGCGGACGGUAAUGUGACCGUUUAUAAAUCUCGACUUGUGGCAAAGGGUUUUUCACAAGUUCAAGGAGUUGACUAUGAUGAGACGCUCUCACCAAUAGCGAUGCUUAAGUCCAUACGAAUCAUGUUAGCAAUAGCUGCAUUUUUCGAUUAUGAAAUCUGGCAGAUGGAUGUCAAAACGGCGUUCCUUAACGGUUUUCUUAAGGAAGAGUUGUAUAUGAUGCAACCCGAAGGUUUUGUCGGUCCAAAGAAUGCUAACAAAGUAUGCAAGCUCCAGUGAUCCAUUUAUGAACUGGUGCAAGCAUCUCGGAGUUGGAAUAAGCGCUUUGAUGAGGUGAUCAAAGCAUUUGGGUUUAUACAAGUUGUUGGAGAAUCUUGUAUUUACAAGAAAGUGAGUGGGAGAUUUGUGGCAUUUCUAAUAUUAUAUGUGGACGACAUAUUGCUGUUUGGAAACAAUGUGGAGUUUUUAGAGAGUGUAAAAGAUUACUUGAAUAAAUGUUUUUCAAUGAAAGACCUAGGAGAAGCUGCUUACAUAUUAGGCAUUAAGAUCUAUAGAGAUAGAUCGAGGCGCCUAAUAGGACUUACACAAAGCACAUACCUUGAUAAAGUUUUGAAGAAGUUCAAAAUGGAAUAGUCCAAGAAGGGGUUCUUGCCAGUAUUACAAGGUAUAAAGUUGAGUAAGACUCAAUGUCCAGUAACUGCGGAAGAUAGAGAAAAGAUGAGUGCCAUCCCCUAUGCUUCAGCCAUAGGGUCUAUCAUGUAUGCAAUGUUGUGCACUAGACCGGACGUCGGCUUGGCCAUAAGUAUGGCAGGCAGGUUUCAAAGUAAUCCAUGAGUGGAUCACUGAACGGCGGUCAAGAAUAUUCUGAAGUAUCUGAAAAGGACUAAUGAAAUGUUUCUGGUUUAUGAAGGUGACGAAGAGCUCGUCGUAGAGGGUUACGUCGAUGCAACCUUUGACACUGAUCCGAAUGACUCUAAGUCUCAAACUGGAUACGUAUUUAUUCUUAAUGGGGGUGCGGUAAGCUGGCGUAGUUCCAAGCAAAGCGUCGUAGCAGAUUCUACAUGUGAGGCGGAGUACAUGGCUGCCUCGGAGGCAGCUAAGGAGGGUGUAUGGAUGAAGUAGUUCAUGACGGAUCUUGGAGUUGUGCCGAGCGCACUGAAAGGACAUGGAUGUCGCCUAGAGAGGGGGUGAAUAGGCGCUUUAAAAUAAUUACGGUUUAGGCUUGAACAAAUGCGGAAUGAAACUAACGUUUAAUUUGUCAAGCACAAAACCUACAACAACUAGGCUUACCUAUGUGCACCAACAACUUAUGCUAAGAAAGAUAAACAACUAAGUGAUAGCAAGAUAUAUGAUAAUACAUAAUAUGGAUAUCACAAAGUAAAGUGCAUAAGUAAAGGGUUCGGGUAAGAGAUGACCGAGGCGCACGGAGACGAUGAUAUAUCCCGAAGUUCACACCCUUGCGGAUACUAAUCUCCAUUGGAGCGGUGUGGAGGCACAAUGCUCCCCAAGAUGCCACUAAGGCCAAUGUAAUCUCCUCACGCUCUCGCACAAUGCAAGAUGCCGUGAUUCCACUAAGGGACCCUUGAGGGCGGUCACCGAACCCGUACAAAUGGCAAACCUUGGGGGCGGUCACCGAUACCCGUACAAAUUGCUUGGGGCAAUUCCACAACCUAAUUGGAGACCCCGACGCUUGCCCGGAGCUUCACACCACAAUGAUUGAGCUCUGAGACACCACCAAGCUUCUAGGACGCCAAAGCAUCCACGAAGAACAAUAUCUAGGGUACUAAGUACCAAAGGUAAUAAGCUUCUCAACUUCUCACUUCCACGUAUCGCCGUGGAGAACUCAAACCGAUGCAACUGAUGCAAUGGCAAGAACACAUGAAGUGGUCAAGUCCCUCCCACUCAAAUCCCUCCACAACAACAAAAGCUAUGGAGAAAUAUGAGAGGAAGAACAAGGAGCUCACAAAGAACUCCAACAUCUAGAUCCAAGGGGUUCCCCUCACAUAGAGGAGAAAGUGAUUGGUGGAGAUGUGGAUCUAGAUCUCCUCUCUCUUUUCCCUCAAGAACAAGAAAGAAUCAUUGGAGGGAUUGAGAGUUAGCAAGCUCUAAGAAAGUCAAUAAUGGGGGAAGAACACGAGCUCAACGGAUAAGUAAAAACCAAGGGGGAAGAAGACCCCCUUUAUAUAGUGGGGGAAGAAAUCAGACCGUUACCCCCACUUACAGCCCGAGCCCACUGGUACUACCGCUAGCUGCAGCGGUACUACCGCUAACCCUCCAACGGUACUACUGCUGACUGCAGCAGUACUACCGCUGGCCCUCCAGCGGUACUACCGCUAGCUGCAGCGGUACUACCACUGAGCCCAUGGUAGCGCAAAGAUACUACCGGGCCAACCACCGCCAAGAAAGUCUUCGCAAAAAGUCCGACGUAGUACAGAUGCAAAUAGGACGGUACUAAAGUCCUGGAGUGGUACUACCGUUGACCAGAGGCGGUACUACUGCUGGGCCAGCGGUACUACCGCCAUCUCUAGCGGUACUACCGCUAGGUCCAGCGGUACUACCGCUCGCCACUGAAACAGCCAUAACUUUCGCAUACGAGCUCCGAAUCGAGCAAACCCAAGCUUGUUGGAUUCAGGACGACAACAGCUAUCCAAACAGCGAAAAUGCCAAUGAUAUAGAGAUGUGAGUCCUCUAUGAAUGAAGAACCGGGAAAAACUCCAACAUCGAAAACAUCAUAGUAGAUGCAUAUGGACUUCGUUUUCGAUGAACUCGAGCUUGUCAUCAAGAUGACCAUAAGCUCUAAAACUCACAAAGAGAAACACCAAAUAAGAACCAAGAAGUAUGAUGCAAGGAUGGAAAUGGUUUGAGCUAUCAACGAACGAUAUGAUCGAGCUACUCACUUGAGAGCCCCCCUUGGCAGAACGGCAAUCUAUCCUAAAACAGAAAACCUAUCAAGCGCAAACCUAUACCUUGCACCUCGUCCACUUGAGCUAGAUGAUGAUGAUCUUGGCUUCCUCAAGAUGGACCACCUUUCUUGAUUGCGUUGGCUUGAUGAAGACUAGUUGAUUGCUCCCCCAUACUCACUAUGGGUGAGCCACUCUUCAGCAUAUCUUCACAAGUCCAUUGCCACCACAAUGGACGACAAGCUUCAAGCAUGAUAUAUUCGUGCUGAUCCACUUGAACUUGCACACCGCAAUCUUGAUGACGAUCACCAAUUCACGUCAUACUUCAUGGGUUGUAUGAGAUCUUUCUUUUGACGCAAGCCCAUGGAAACACACCUAACCCCCACAUAGAACUCUCACGAAGACCAUGGGUUAGUACGCAAACACGUAAUGGACAAUGGUUACCAUACCAUGGGAUCACUUGAUCCCUCUCGGUACAUCUUGUACUCUUUGCGUGUUGAUCAUCUUGAUUUACUCUUUGUCUGAGAUCUUGAUCAACCUUGUGUCUCUAUGACCAUUCUUUGGUUAAUACCUUGAAUACCAUCUUGGUCAUAUAUAAACUCCUUGAACCCAACAGAUGAACUUCAAGAAGUGCAUAUGGACAAAUCCUAUAAAUAUAACUUAAGGCAACCAUUAGUCCAUAGGAAUUGUCAUUAAUUACCAAAACCACAUAUGGGGAUAUAUGCUCUAACACGCACUAAAUCCAAGAACUCUGUUCUGUGACAACACUGGUGCCAUUGCUUUAGCAAAGGAACCAAGGUUUCACAAGAAGACCAGACACAUCAAACGACGCUUCAACCUCAUCCGCGACUACAUCGAAGGAGAGGACGUAAAUAUUUGCAAAGUGCACACGGAUCUAAUUGUAGCAGAUCCGCUCACUAAGCCUCUUCCACGAGCUAAGCAUGAUCAACACCAGAAUUGUAUGGGUGUUAGAUUCAUUCCAAUGUAAAUCGUAUGGUGAUGUGAGACUGGAUUAUUGACUCUACUGCAAGUGGGAGACUGUUGGAAAUAUGCCCUAGAGGCAAUGAUAAAAUAGUUAUUAUUAUAUUUCAUGUUUCAAGAUAAUCGUUUAUUAUCCAUGCUAUAAUUGUAUUGAAUGAAAGUAUAGAUACAUGUGUGGAUACAUAGACAAAACAAUGUCCCUAGUAAGCCUCUAGUUGGCUAGUCAGUUGAUCAAGGAUGGUUAAGGUUUUCUGACCAUAUGCAAGUGUUGUCACUUGAUAGCUGUAUCACAUCAUUAGGAGAAUGAUGUGAUGGACAAGACCCAAAUUAUAAACGUAGCAUGUGAUCGUGUCAUUUUGUUGCUAUUGUUUUCUGUUUGUCAAGUAUUCAUUCCUAAGACCAUGAGAUCAUGUAACUCACUGACACCAAAGGAAUACCUUGUGUGUAUAAAAUGUCACAACGUUACUGGGUGACUAUAAAGGUGCUCUACAGGUAUCUCUGAAGGUGUCCGUUGAGUUAGCAUGGAUCAAGACUGGGAUUUGUCACUCCGUGUGACGGAGAGGUAUCUCGGGGCCCACUCGGUAAUGCAACAUCACAUAUAAGCCUUGCAAGCAAUGUGACUCAAGUGUAAGUCACGGGAUCUUGUAUUACGUAAUGAUUAAAGAGACUUGCCGGUAACGAGAUUGAAAUAGGCAUAGAGAUACCAACGAUCAAAUCUCGGGCAAGUAACAUACCGAAGAACAAAGGGAAUGUUAUACGAGAUUACAUGAAUCCUUGGCACAAAGGUUCAACCAAUAAGAUCUUCAUAGAAUUUGUAGAAUCCAAUAUGGACGUCCAGGUACCGCUAUUGGAUAUUGACCGAGGAGUGUCUCGGGUCAUGUCUGCAUAGUUCUCAAACCCGCAGGGUCUGCAAACUUAAGGUUUGGUGACGUUUUAAUAUAGUUGAGUUAUAUGUGUUGGUGACCGAAGGUUGUACGGAGUCCCGGAUGAGAUCAUGGAUGUCACGAGGAUUUCUGGAAUGGUCCAAAAAUGAAGAUUGAUAUAUAGGAUGGUUUCAUUUGGUCACCGGAAAGAUUAUGGGCAUUACCGGCAGUGUACCGGGAGUGACGAAUGGGUUUCGGGUAUUCACCGGGAGGGGCCCACCCACCCGGGAGUGAGCCCAAUAGCACUAGGGUGGCGCACCAGCCCUAGUGGGCUGGUGAGGCCAGCCCAAGUGGGCUAUGGCGCCACAAGGAGAAAAAACCAAAGGAAAGAAAAAAAAGGAAAGAGGGAGGUGGGAAGGAAGGAGUGGACUCCUUCCCCCAUACCGAAUUGGGAUGGGAGUCCACCUCCUCCCUUCGGCCGGUGCCCUUGGGGCUCCCUUGAGCCCCAAGGCUAGCCCCUCCCCUCCUCCUAUAUAUGUUGGUGGUUUUAGGGAUUUUGAGACACAACUUUGCCACGUGCAACUCAAACCUAUACCACGUAGUUCUUCCUCUAGAUUAGAUUUCUGCGGAGCUCAGGCGGAGCCCUGCAGGAGUAGAUCAUCACCAUCACCGGCGCACCGUAAGGCUGCCGUACAACUCAUCUACUUCCUUGUCUCUCUUACUGGAUCAAGAAGGCGGAGAUCAUCAUCGAGAUGUACGUGUGCUGAACGCGGAGGUGUCGUCCGUUCGGUGCUAUAUCAGAACGGAUCGUGGGACGACGGUGAUUUGAAUCACGAAGUUGUACCACUACAUCAAGUGCAUUUCUUCACGCUUCCCGCUUAGAGAUCUACAAGGGUAUGUGGAUCUAAUCUCCCUCUCGUAGAUGAACAUCACCAUGAUAGGUCUUCGUGUGCGUAGGAAAUUUUUUGUUUCAAAUGCAACAUUCCCCAAUACCAACCACUGAGAACCCCUUACCAGGCUUUAGGCAGGAACGUGUACCUAUGGACUUUAAGCUGCCCGAGAAGCAGAUUGAUGAGGAAGAAGUUUCAAUUUCUCCUGCCUUUGCGAAGCUUAGGGCCUUGAGCGGCAAUGACCUUACCGGCGUCGAUUUGAUCCUCUGCUGGGUGGACUGGUGGAUAAUGCCUUUGAGCCGCCGGGACGAAUUAAUGUGCGAAUACAAUGACGACUUAAACCAUCUGCAAUGCUUCUCCAACGUCAUGCUUGAUAAGGAAGACAUUGACAAUAUUGUGAAGAAACGGUGUGGCGAGCCACUUAAGACUUGCUCUAAUAUUAGCUUAAAGUUGUUCUGCCUCUCCAACCCGGCUCCAGAGGUGAAAUAAUUCAACUCGCAUGUCUUGCUUUUUUAUAACUUUGAGCUUGUUUCUGACCCGAGUUCCAAUUAUGUUAAUCAGAAGAACUCGCCUUUCUGGAAACGGAAGCCGAAAACCACCGUCAAGAAGGUACCGACGAAAACCGCCCCAAAGAAGAAAACCAAGGGCAAAACCGCCACAGUAGAGUCAUCCGUUGUGGGCGAGUCUCGGGCCGCAGAGGAACACUCAGAGGUAAAUGCUUUUGUCCUUCUUAUUCCAACACAGUAUGUACUUAAACAUUGUUGUUUUCGUUUAUAUGGUGAUGACAUGGAGAGCCAAGAUGAAGACGUCGAGGUAAUUUUCGUUUCUUCCGACUCAAAUUCUUCUUCUCCCAAGCCGGCAAGGCGAGUCUGUACAGAAGUCCCCGUGUCUCACCCAGAUGCUCAUCUGGAUCCCAAUUUCCUUUUGAAGAAGGCGGGUUAUACACCAAAACGUCACACUCGAAGCCAUUCUGGGGAUAUCUUGUCCGGUUUGCCCGAGAAAAUGGUCGGUCGCAAGCGACAAAGCUAGGUAUGUUUUAUGUUAAAUGUCACUCUUCCAUGUGCAGCCAAUUCUCACAACUUACUCAAUCUUUUGAAUCUUAUGUCUAACAGGUUUCACCUGCUUCAUUUAGCGACUCACCUGCUUCAGCUCUCCCUCCUUUAAUCCGCCUUGAGGGGUAAGUACUUUUUCCAAUAUGUUGUUUGGACGCUAGUCUUUCAAUUUUAACAUAACUACCACCCUUAUAGGGAUCAAGACAAAAAGAGAAAGACUGGCGAGUCAUCAUCUAACCCCAAGGCGGCUGAUAAGGUGGGAAUAAGUACUUCCAUUCCAGAAGCUCAGGAAGAGUCGGCUGAGACUCACGCCGAAGCUCCUGACAAUCUCCCCUAUAUUCAAGAUGAGCCGCCGAGCCCACAGAAGGAAGUUGUUGAGAAUCUCAACCCACCAAGCCCUCAAAAGGCGGCUGAAGACAUGACACCUGACCCAGAUCAAUUCUUCAUUACUGGAACAGGCUAUUCUGAACAUGCAUCCGUAGUGUUGACCAAGCAUACUCCCAAGGAUACCCCAAUACUUAGAGAGAAGGGCAUGACCAAGUUGAAGCUUCCCAAUAUUGAGAAGCUAGAUUUUGACGAAUUACAUUCUGGCUAUCUGAGUCGCGUGGCGGCGAGUCGUGACAUGGAAACAAGUCUGGUCAACAUGAUGAAGAAAAAACACGAGGUAUGAUACCUAUCAUCCUCCUUUAUAUGUACUCCCAUUAGCCCUACAAAAGGCGAGUCAUCUUUGUAAUGAUGAGUCGGAGUUUUGUGACAAGCUUUGUAGACAACUUCAACCUCUAGCCCCCAAGGGUCGGGUCAUAUUCUUUGAAGAUGAGCCGGGUCUGUAGUUUAAAUUGUAAGAAAGCUUCAACCUGUAGCCCCCAAGGGUCGGGUCAUCUUCUUUGAAGAUGAGCCGGGUAUGUAGUUUAAAUUGUAAGAAAGCAUCAACCUGUAGCCCCCAAGGGACGGGUCAUCUUCUUUGAAGAUGAGCUUGGUCUUGCUUAAGGUAUUGCCAUGGAAAAUUGAAUCAUACAUUAGCCCCCAAGUGUCAGGGAUAUUGCUUGCAAUCUGUAUGAAACUUGUCAUAAACAUUUGGAUUUUUGUAGGAAAUGAUCCAGGCCGACUCAACCGUGUCUGGCUUGAAGCAAAGCUUAGGAAAACACCAAGAUGCCCGAGCUAAGUUUGAAGAAAAUUCCGCCUUGCACUUGUGGAUAUGGAGAAAAUGAAAGCGGAUCACAAAUAAUUUGAAGAAAAAGCUGAGGAUGAGCGAGCCGCUUUGCUGAAAAGGGUCGAACAAGCCAAAAAACAAAUGAAAGUCGCCGUUCAGGAACUGACUGGGAUGAAACUUCAUAUCUCCAAAAUGGCUAAUGUUGUGUUUGGUAAGUAUCCGCCGCUGCCCGUGUUUGAAAAGUAAUGUUUUAAAACACAUCGGCGACUUGUGAUUGUGUAUCCUUGCUGUAGGUCCUCGAUCCGUCAAUCUCCAUGAUGAUUGUGUAUUCAAGCUAAAGGCAAUAUACACUUUAACAGAGCAACUGUAUGCUGGCAGCUUGAUGACUAUUAAGGAUGUCAUGGGCGAUAAGGAUCCUCUGAAGACAAUCAAGUAUAUGUUGGGGUACUUGUCCACAAUGCCAAAGCAGAUUGAAGAAUUAAAAAGAUCAACCGCCCGGAAAGGAGUACUUACCACCCUUAGUCGAUGCUUGGCUUACGCUCCAGAGCUUAAGCCGGAGGAGAUAACUGGCGGGUUUUAAGAAUAUAAAGACGACGGGUCAUAAUUCACUCAAGAGGACUAUCAUCGAUGUGUGAAGGAAUCUCGCCUACCGGCGACUCAACUGGCAGCCAGUUUGGACUUAGCCAAGUAUCACGCGGCUUAUGAUGAGAAAAACAACCGUGUCACUCCUCCCUCUUUUGAAAUCACAGAUCUGACUCCGCAGCACUGUAAGCACCUUUUUGACUCUCAUGCUGACCCGUCCACCAUCUUGACCAAAGAAGCUGAGUUACACGCCUUAACCAAUUGCAAUUGGACAAUGGGCGACUUACAGUUCCAAGACGGCGAAGGCUCGAUGCCGGAUAACCCGGAGGCGGCUUGAACAAGGUGUUACUUGAAGACUGCCCAUGGAGAUCGAUCCAGAAGAUCAAAUUCCGGGUCAUGUAAAAUUUGGUGGCCUUCUCAGCCAUGUAAUAGGUUAGAGAUGAAAACAGUAGUAUUUUGCACCGUACCUUUAUUGACUUUGAAGUCUCACCCUUUGAGAAUAUGAGCCGCCUUACUAGGCGUUUUGCUAUGUCUUGAUCAAAGAAAUGAUGCUUCAUGUGGCCAGAGAAGAAUAUUGAGCCGGCUCAAUGAGACGCCGCAGUCGGUAAUCAUGAGUCUUGAAAACUCUAACUGUACCCCAAAGAUACUUUGUAGUCAUAAAGUUUGCCAACUCAAUGAGUCGCGGCAGGGUAGGACGAGCUUGCAAGGCUCUAGUGCUACCCUAGAGAGGCUUUUGCAACAGCCUUAGUUGUUUAGACCAGCUGAUCAGGCGCAAGUCAGGCUUCAGUGAAGCAGGUUCAGUGAAUCCAUGGUUUGUCUAUUUUCCAUAUGCCGGCUCCCGCAAGCACCCUUCAUGUUUUAACCAAGGCAAGUUCAGGGUCCAAAUCUGGAUUGACUCGCCAAGAGUACAUGGGACCAUAGGGAGAGUCGUCAAACAUAUAGUCCAAUAUAACCAUUGUAAUGCGUUAAUUUUUUGCUUGCCAAGAGGGUAUUCAGGCUGAACUCAGUGAGUAGAAGCCCCCAAGUGACCUAUGAUUAGGGAAAGUCAGACAUAGGAUUGCAGAAGCGUUUACGCUCUUACUGCAAAACGACUUGGGAACUAGUAGCCCCCAGGUAAGCCAGCUUAAUUCACAAAAUCAUAUAAGACGCCCAUGUUUGAACCGUGCAACGUGGCAACUUUGGUCCUCUUUGGCUUACCAGUAUCCAGUUUUGAAAUAAGUGCAGCAUGGCGACUUAUGCUCUUUGAUACUGAUAGCAUCCAUGCUUGGACGGCUUAUGAAAUAAUAAAGACUCAUGCUUUCAAGAAGCUGAAACGGCAGAGACCCCAAAUUUCGUGGGUGCCGGCUUUAUUGCUAUAUAUAUAUAAAGAGUACAAGAACUUGCUGGUAAAUCGCCGGCCGUGCUGCGGCUAAGUCACGCUCCUCCUCCAAGGCAUCCAAUGAAUCUUGACGCCCCAGCUCGUUGUCCUCGUCAAUAUAGGCGGCGACUCAUGGUGAGUCAUGCCUUAUGUCACUUGGUAAGACCGCCUCAGCUCCGUAGACCAAGAAAAAAGGCGUGUAACCAAUGGACCUGUUGGGGGUAGUCCUUAUGCUCCAAAGUAAUGAAGGAAGCUCCUCAACCCAGCAACCCGGAGUGCACUCCAAGGGGACCAUGGGUCAAGGUUUGAUCACACGCAAGAUUUCUUGAUUUGCUCUUUUCGCCUAUCCAUUGGAUUGGGGAUGUGCAACCGCGGAGACAUCAAGCCGGAUGUGCUCCUUUUCACAAAAUUCUUGCAUGGCGCCUUUGGAUAAAUUAGUACCAUUAUCAGUAAUGAUACUAUGAGGAUACCCAAAGCAAAAGAACAACUUCUUGAGGAACUUGACGGCCGUUUCUGCAUCGCAACUGCUAACCGGCUCUGCUUCAACCCACUUGGUAAACUUGUCAACCACCACCAGUAGAUGAGUCUUUUUGUUGGAAGACAUCUUGAAAGGACCAACCAUGUCGAGCCCCCAGACCGCAAAAGGCCAUGUAAUUGGGAUCAUCCGCAAUUCUUGAGCCGGCACAUGCAUCUGACGCCCAAAUUUCUGACAACCAUCACAUUUGCGCACUAUGUCUUCAACAUCGGUGUGAGCUGUCAACCAAUAGAAUCCAUGUCUAAAGGCUUUCGACACCAACGAUCGUGACCCGGCGUGAUGACCACAGUCGCGAGCAUGAAUCUCAUUAAGGAUCGCACGACCCUCUUCGGGCGAGACGCAUCUUUGAAAAAUUCCACAAGUGCUUCAUUUGUGCAACUCGCCUUAUGUAUGACCAUAGAUUUGCAUCGCCGGAUAAUUUGGCGAGCCAACAACUCAUCAGCCGGUAACUCGCCCCGUGCGAAAUAAGACAUGUAAGGGACCGCCCAAUCCGGAGUGGCACGAACAUCUGCCACAAGUUGAGAUUCUGGGUCAGGGACCGCUAUAUCCUCCUCAGAAGGCAACUUCACCGACGAUUAUGCAGGAUAUCCAAAAAUACGUUGGGAGGAACCGGCUUACGCUGUGACCUGAGUCGUGAAAGAGCGUCAGCUGUCUCAUUGAGCCGGCGGUCAAUAUGAUCAACUUGAUAACCAUGAAACUGACCCGCCACAUCUGAUACAGCACGCCUGUAAGCCGCCAUCAACGGAUCCCUGGAAUACCACGUUCCGGAAACUUGUUGCGCCACCAGAUCUGAGUCGCCCAGGCAACUAACCCGUCUAAGGUUCAUCUCUCUGGCGAUCCAAAGCCCGUCGAGCAAAGCCUCGUACUCCGUUGCAUUGUUAGUGCACGGAAACAUGAGUCGUAGAACAUAGCAAAACUUAUCACCCUGCAGGGAAGUCAGUACCACGCCAGCCCCCGAGCCUUCCAGCUGCCUGGACCCGUCAAUAUGUGUGAUCAGGUCUGUCUUCUAGAAUUUGCAACUCGGUCCAAUCAUUGAUGAAAUCUACUAAGGCCUGAGACUUGAUGGUCAUGCGGGGCAUAUACUUCACGUGGUGAGGACCAAGCUCAAUGGCCCACUUAGCAAUCUGCCCGGUUGCUUCACGGUUUUGUAUGAUAUCGCCAAGUGGUGCAGAACUGACCACCGUGAUCGGAUGCUCCUGGAAGUAGUGCUUCAGCUUCUGACCCGCCAUGAAGAUCCCAAAAACCAGCUUCUGCCAGUGUGGAUAACAUUGUUUGGAGAGGGUCAAGACUUCGCUAUCAAAGUACACAGGCCUUUGGACCGGGUACUCCUUUCCUUGUUCCUUGCGUUCGACAACCACUACCACGCUUGCUGCUUUAGAGUUAGCAGCAAUGUACAUGAGCAUAGGCUCUUUGUCGGUGGGGGCUGCUAAAACGCCGGCUCAGCCAAUUGCUUCUUCAGGGCCUCAAAGGCUUCGUUGGUCGCGUCUGUCCACACAAAACGGUAUGUUUUCUUGAGCAGCUGAUAAAGAGGGAUGGCCUUCUCACCAAGGCGACUUAUGAAGCGACUCGGAGUUGGGAUACAACCCGCCAUACGCUGGACCUAGUUUAUAUUAGCCGGUUUGCCAAGGGAAGUGAUCGCCUUAAUCUUGUCCGGGUUGGCCUCAAUACCUCGCUCUGACACCAAGAAACCCUAUAACUUCCCUGCAGGGACAUUGAAAACACACUUGGUCGGGUUAAACUUCAUCUGAUACACACACAAACUGUCAAACGUCUCCUUGAGAUCCUCUAGAAGUGACUCCUUCUUUUGGGAUUUCACCACUAUGUCAUCAACAUAGGCGUGAACGUUGCGCCCGAUCUGAUUGUGCAGACAAUUUUGGAUACAUCGUUGAUAAGUCGCCCCUGCACUCUCAAGCCCGAAUGGCAUGGAGACAUAGCAAAAAGCACCAAAAGGAGUUAUGAAGGUCGUCUUCUCUUGAUCCUCCAAAGCCAUUUUUAUUGGGUGAUAACCUGAGUAUGUAUCCAAAAACACAACCGCUCGCAACCCAACAUAGAGUCAAUGAUUUGAUCAAUACGAGGGAGAUAGAAAGGGUCCUUCGGGCAUGCCUUGUUGAGGUCGGUGUAGUCAAUGCACAUGCGGAAAGUCCCAUUCUUCUUGAGGACCAAGACUGGGUUGUCCAGCCACUCUGGAUGAAAAACUUCCACAAUGAACCGAGCAGCCAAGAGUCGGGCUACCUCUUCCCCGAUUGCCUUACGCCUCUCCUCGUUGAAACGAAAGAGGUACUGCAGAACCGGCUUAAUCUUGGGAUCUACAUUAAGGUGGUGCUCAGCGAGCUCUCUCAGUACACCUGGAAUGUCAGAAGGUUUCCAUGUAAAAAUGUCCCGAUUCUCAUGGAUGAAUUCGAAGUGCGUGCUUUCCUAUAUGGGAUCCAGACCCAUCCGAAUAGUGAAUUGCUUGGAAGAGUCGCCAGGCGUGAAAUCAACCUGCUUGGUGUCAUCUGUAGGUUUAAACUUGAGGGGCGGCUCUGAAUCGAUUGUGGGCUUCUUGAGUGGAGUCAUGUUUGUCGGGUCAACAUUGGCCUGAUAAAACUUGAGUUCCUCAGCAGCGCAGGCCGACUCAGCAUAAGCAACAUCUCCUUCUUCGCACUCCUGAGCUAUCUUCUGAUCUCCACUUAUCGUGAUUGUUCCUCUAGGGCCUGGCAUCUUGAGCUUGAGGUAGACAUAACACAGUCGGGCCAUGAAGCGGGCGUAAGCCGGUCGACCAAAAAGCGCAUGAUAAGGGCUCUUGAUCUUGACCACCUCGAACGUGAGAGACUCCCUCAUGUAAUUAGAUUUGGUGCCAAAGGCCAAUCUGAGUUUAAUCCGCCCAACAGGAUAUGUCGACUUACCUGGGACGAUGUCGUGGAAGACCGUGGAGGAGGGCAUCAAGUCGUCUUCAGAGAAAUUCAUUCUUCGGAAAGUGUCAUAGUAUAAGAUGUUGAUACUACUUCCACCGUCCAUGAGGACUUUGGAGAGGGUAUAGCCCCCAACCUGAGGUGCCACGACCAAUGCCAAGUUGCCAGGGUUAUCAACCCGGGGUGGGUGGUCCUCCCUACUCCAGAUAACAGGCUGCUCAGACCAGUUGAGAUACCUGGGAAGCGUCGGCUCAGCUAUGUUGAGGGCGCUCUGCUUAACCUUCUUGUCCCUCUUGCAAGCAUUAGUGGUGAACACGUGAUACUGCCUAUUGUUCGGCUGCUUGGGAUUUUUUUGGAAGCCAUUGCUGCCGUUCUGCUGCUGAGAGCUGUUUGGGUUAAGUUGCUGCUGAAAGCUACCCUGAGCAUUAUAUUGUUGGUUACCCUGGACCGGGUAUUGCCUAGUGUUGGGGUAUGACUCGCCCUGUGGGCCAGGGUUAGGAAAGCCACCAAACGAAUUCCCGUGUGAGCCGCCCGAACCAAAUUGAUCCGGGUGUCCACCACUACUCCCUCCUUGGUUUUUCUUGAGUGCCUUGGCACGAAACUCCUGCAUCACAAAAUAGUUUUCCCAAGAAUGAGUGGCUGGACCUUCUGUUGAGCUAUGUUGUGGGUAGUGGCCCUUGAGCAUCUCCUGAUAGUUACGUGGUCUUUUGCCACUGAAGCCCCGAUGCCCACUUUUCUUCUCACGCUGAUUCCUGGUCCCGGUGUUAGUAUUGGCGACGAAAUCACUGACACCUUCCUGCUCCCUUUUCUUCCCUUGGCCCCCAGGGUUAUUGUCGUUACGUCCCUGGGCCUGAGAAUGGCCUCUGGAUGACUCUCCCCUCCUGGCAUCGCUGACUUUGUCAUCGUCCUCUACGAGAUCUUUGGUGCCAUCUGACUCGGCAUAUCUAGUUAGGGUGUCCAUCAACUCGCCCAUAUCCUGCACUUUCCGCUUGAGUCGCCCAAGUUUCAACACCAAGGGCUGGAAGUGACAGUUUUUCUCCAAGAUCAGCACAACCUGAGCCGCCAUGAUACCAUCCGAUGAAAGGAUUAUCUCUGCAAUCCGCCGUGUCCAAUGAUGGGCCGACUCAUCUGAGCGCUAGACAUAGUGUUGUAAGUCGACAAUGGUCAUUUGAUGCUUGCAAGUUCCUCUGAAGUUCUUGACAAUACGUUCCUUCAACUCGGCCCAUGUAUUGAUGGAGUUAGGUGGCAAAUUCUUCAGCCAAGUGUGUGUCGUCCCUUCGAGCAUCACUGUAAAGUACUUGGCACACACCACAUCACUAACAUCGAGCAUGUCCAUCGCGAGCUCGUAACUCUCAACCCACGCUCCUGGCUCAAGGUCAGUCAUGUAGUUGGGAACCUUGCGCGGACCCUUAAAGUCCUUGGGCAUGUGCUCAUUGCGGAGGGGCGGGUGAUAAACAGGGAAUCCCUAUGUUCAUGCCUCGUGACUCGCCGUGCGUCGGGGGAGGCGGCACAUAAGCCUAAUAGCCUUGACCCGCCGCUGUUCCCGCCUCCGCCAGAUGGGCGGCUCGUGCUGCAUCCAGAAGGUCUUGGGCAUGUGUGCCAGGCAAUCCAGGCGAGUUGGUAUGCGGAUGUCGACGCUACUCACUGCUAGACACCAUGGGCGAGUCAUUACGGCGACUCCUGGUAUGACUUGUGUGAGGCGUAGAGUGCAGCCGAUCGCGACUAUAUGAGUACUACGCUUGUUGGACCACCUUCGUUUUCAACAUCUCGAUGGUGUCCCUUGCUUCCACCUCAGCUACAGAGUUUCCGUGAAUGGGUAGAGACUCUAAGUUGCGAGUCGCGGCCAGCACAUUGUCGACGGGGUUAGAAAAGUGACCCUGCGGCGUAUGGAAGCGUGGCGGCCGUGUCGGCAUCGGCCGAGGCGACUGUGGAUUGGGCGGCGGCUGAGCUGGCUCAACCUGCUGAGUAACUCGCCAUGGCGGGUUAGGUUCCAUCCCAGGGGUAUGUGGGUUGUCAAAGAGUCGGGUAGGGUUUAGAUCAGUCGGCAAAUGAUUAUGAUGCCUCCUCUGGUGAACCGCAUCCGAAGUGGGCUGUUGGCGUUCAAGUUGCCAUCCCUGAACCACAUCAAUAUAUUAACAUAAUCAAUCAUCAUGAAGAAGAGAAGGGUCCGACUACGGACGAAAAUAAACAAUAAAGGAAUGACGUCCAUCCUUCCUAUCCCAGGCUACCGGCCUGGAGCCCAUCCUAGAUCGAUGAAGAAGAAGAAGAAGAACAAACUCCAAAGCACAAUCAUCACGCUCACGUCAUAAUAUCACUUACAUGUACCUGCAACUGGUGUUGUAGUAAUCUGCGAGCCACAUGGGACUCAGCAAUCACAUUUCCAAAGGUAUCAAGACUAGCAAAGCUUAAUGGGUGAGGUAUGGUUAAGUGGUGAGGAUGCAACAAGCGACUAAGCAUUUAUUUGAGGUAGCUAACUUACGAGUACAAGAUUAAAAGAGGGGGAUGAUCUACGCAUAGUAGACGUGAACUAAUGAUGAUCAAAUGAAUGAUCCUGAACACCUACUUACGUCAGACAUAACCCCACCGUGUCCUCGAUCGGAGGAGGAGCUCACGAAAGAGACAGUCACGGUUACGCACUCAGUUGGCAAGUUUUAAUUAAGUUUACUUCAAGUAAUCUAGAACCGGGUGUUAAACAAGUUCCCAAGUUUCCACAUAACCACGGGCACGGCUUUCCAAAAGAUUUAACCUUGCAGGGGUGCUCCAACUAGUCCAUCACAAAUUACCACAAGCCGCAUAGAAAGCCUCGACCACAAAACUCGUGAUCUCCUCGGAUUCCUUAGUGGAAAACCUCAACUCUGAGAUAACCUAAACCAUCACCGGAAUCCCGAUGCACAAGAUAUUUCGUAAAAGGUAAAACAAGUCCAGCAAGGCCGCCCGACGUGUCGACGAACCCGAUAUGAGCCGCCUAUAUCGUUCUCAGGACACGACUGGAUGGGACUAGCUAUGAGUAAAACCAACCCGAUUUGUACCAACACUCAUGAGGAGCACUGGCCUGGGGGUUGAUUAAGUUCCUCGGGUUAAUUACUCCCUAUAUGGUUCAUUAGUUAUUAGGCAAAUAGUACCAAAGUUGGGCCUUGCGAGACUAGUUUUAGUCUAAGACAAAUUAUCAAGGGGGUCCCCAUAACAAUCCCGAUCGUGUUAGGAGCGCUCGAUUAUGGAAUAUAACACCAGUAGCCGAAACUAGGGCGGAAAAGGUGGAACAAAACACCAGGCUAAAAGGCCGAGCCUUCCACCUUUUACCAAGUAUAUAGGUGCAUUAAACUAAAUAGCAAUUAAUGUGGUGAUAUAACAAGGAACCCAUGUUAUCACAUGGAAGCAACUGUACAUGCAACUAGCAAUGCUAACACAUGGUUAAGCAAGUGGUAACAUAGCCAAUCAGUGGUUUGCUAGGUUGUAGAAGGUUGAAGGUUUCAUGGCAAUGUUGAGAGGCUAACAUUUAACAUGUGGUAGGCACCGAGACAUAGCGAAAGAAACGAGACAACUAGCAUGGCAUUGAUAGUAAUGGUAUCUAGGGAAAUGAUCAUCUUGCCUACGAUCCCGCUUGGAAGAAGAACGACUCCAUGAAGCAGACGAACCGACGUAGUCAAACGGAUCCUAACACUCCGACAUGCUUGCAGAACUCUAUCGAGACAAAGCAAACCAGAAACAAGAAUCAACAAAGAAUUUUCACCACGGCACAUGCACGAUAUGAUGCACACCCUAAUAUGAUGCAUGAUCGGUUGGAUUAUGCAACACAUGGCAUGGCAAAUCACAACAAUCAAGCACUACACAUUAAGUGAAGUUCAAUAUGCAAUGACUUGCAUAUUGACGAAACUCCACAUACGAAUUAUUUAGUUCCCUCCCGUUUAGGUACAAAGCUAUUUUUAAAUGUUGUUAACAUGGCAAGAGAUGAAGCACAAAUAAUCUACCUAUAUAGGCAUUUUAAAUGAGGUCGGAAACAACUUAUAGCAUCUCCGGAAUGACCCCAUGUGUUAAAUUAGAAUUUUGUCCAGAUCUGUCCUAAUCACAUUUUAUGUUUGUUAAACAGCAAAACAAGAUGGUUCACGUGAAACUACGCAUCAUUCUACUCGAUUUACAUAUAUGGCUCACCUCCAACGGAGUACGAUUAACUAGCUACGAAUUAAACCCUUUUAACAUGGCAUCUAUGCAAAACGAGGCAAACAUCAAGGUUACCAGUUUUAAUUAUGCAUGAGAGUUGGAAAAUACUAAUCUACGUGAAAUGCUAAUCAUUUACAUAUAUAACUUGACUUUAUCCGACGCUUGAUUUAAAAGCUACGCGCGUUUUAAAAUAGGCAUCUAAUAAAAAUUAUAGUUACUAGACGAAAGAAAAACUACGAGCGGUUGACACAGGCUGGGCUAGCCACUGCCAAUGACAGUGGGAACGCACGGGUGGUCAACUCUACAUCUUAGGACCAGUCAACAUGCACUGGGGCCCGGGUGUCAUUGUCUCACGAAAGCACGAAAAAGAUAAAUGGCCAGCAACAAAAUUGCCUAGCCAGGGAUUCAACCAGGGAACUCCUGCUUGCUAGCGUUGCGGUUGACCAGCUUGGCUAUGGCAUGAAUUGUAAAAAAUAUGCAGACUUAGCCAGAAGAAGCAUACCCUAUCGAUGUUUGUACAAAUCUGAAAUCGAGAAAUCUUACGGCUCGUUCUCUUGCUCUGAUUGGGGUUGCUCAUGCGGCGGCUCGACUUGGGUGUCGUCAUGGCCUGGCAGAGGAGGCACCGAUAAACUCCAACGGCGGCGUGAGGUGGGACUUGGCGUGGCGGGAGUCGCUGGAUCCAUCCAUGCAGGGGAUGGGGAGCUCGAUCUGGUGCUCAGGCACCGGGGCCAUGGCGGACAGGGGUUGCAGGGCUGGUCAGCUGACGAGGCUCUGGAAAAGGGUGCUAGACAUGCGGGCCCGACGCGGCGCCAGCUGCUGGCUCGAGGAGGAGGGCGCGGCUGGCUCAGGCGCUACACGGAGGAGCUCAAGGAGCUGCUCGUCUCGAGUGCGAGGUCCUGGUGGCGCCACCGGAGCUCAUGCCCGUGAGGUCACGCAGACCAGAUUUGCUGCGGGCGCCCGGAUGCGUCCGGCUGGAGCGACGGGGCUCUGCUACUGCACGAGCUGGAGAUGGAGGCCGCGUUCGACGAGAGAGAUGGAGGGAUUGGAUUGGCCGGCACAAAAUUGCGGGAGGUGGACGGAGUCUGCUUGUUGGUUGUGAGGGGAUCGGAGUUGGUUGGGGUAGGCUGGAUCGGGAGGAGAUCCCGAGGUGGGAGGAGCUUGGUCGGGUGGCGGCGGCUAGGAGGAUCGACUGGAUUGGAUAGGGCUAGGGUUAGGUUCGAAUACUUAAAUAGCUAUGGGGAUUUGAGGGUCGAUUUGGACCCUCCGAUUCGAUCGGACGGUCGAGAAUAAAUAGACUAGGGAGUUUAAAACAAUGAAAAACGUCCGACGUUGGACCGGCUAUAGUACCACUAUAGGUUUAAUGGUUCGGGUAUCAAACGAACUCCGAUCGUGAUGAAAUUUGACAGGCGGCCUACCUACACUAUAUUAAGACCACACGCCAACUUUCAACCCA